AUUUUCAUGGUGUAAUGUUUAGCACUCUGAACUUUGAAUCCAGUGAUCCGAGUUCAAAUCUUAGUGAGAUCU
Molecule: non-coding RNA, 72 nt
Organism: Octopus bimaculoides (California two-spot octopus)
Lineage: Eukaryota; Metazoa; Mollusca; Cephalopoda; Octopoda; Octopodidae
Source: Rfam